GGGGAUUUAGCUCAGUGGUAGAGCACUUGCCUAGCAAGGGGAAGGCCCUGGGUUCGGUCCCCAGCUCCG
RNAcentral lists this transfer RNA (69 nucleotides) under Rattus norvegicus (Norway rat). It matches the Rfam family "tRNA". Rfam says of the family: Transfer RNA (tRNA) molecules are approximately 80 nucleotides in length. Their secondary structure includes four short double-helical elements and three loops (D, anti-codon, and T loops). Further hydrogen bonds mediate the characteristic L-shaped molecular structure. tRNAs have two regions of fundamental functional importance: the anti-codon, which is responsible for specific mRNA codon recognition, and the 3' end, to which the tRNAs corresponding amino acid is attached (by aminoacyl-tRNA synthetases). tRNAs cope with the degeneracy of the genetic code in two manners: having more than one tRNA (with a specific anti-codon) for a particular amino acid; and 'wobble' base-pairing, i.e. permitting non-standard base-pairing at the 3rd anti-codon position. Lineage: Eukaryota; Metazoa; Chordata; Mammalia; Rodentia; Muridae. The record is from Rfam by way of RNAcentral.